This 468-nucleotide ribosomal RNA is filed under the name uncultured bacterium. RNAcentral describes it as "partial 16S ribosomal RNA". It matches the Rfam family "Bacterial small subunit ribosomal RNA", at positions 28 to 507 of the family's 1533-position model. The record is from RNAcentral.
GACGAACGCUGGCGGCGUGCUUAACACAUGCAAGUCGAACGGAAAGGCCCUGCUUUUGUGGGGUGCUCGAGUGGCGAACGGGUUAGUAACAAGUGAGUAACCUUCCCUUUACUUUGGGAUAACUUCAGGAAACUGGGGCUAAUACCGGAUAGGAGCUCCUGCUGCAUGGUGGGGGUUGGAAAGUUUCGGCGGUUGGGGAUGGACUCGCGGCUUAUCAGCUUGUUGGUGGGGUAGUGGCUUACCAAGGCUUUGACGGGUAGCCGGCCUGAGAGGGUGACCGGCCAGAUUGGGACUGAGAUACGGCCCAGACUCCGACGGGAGGCAGCAGUGGGGAAUAGUGCACAAUGGGCGGAAGCCUGAUGCAGCAACGCCGCGUGCGGGAUGACGGCCUUCGGGUUGUAAACCGCUUUCGCCUGUGACGAAGCGUGAGUGACGGUAAUGGGUAAAGAAGCACCGGCUAACUACGUG